AGAGUUUGAUCCUGGCUCAGAACGAACGCUGACGGCAGGCCUAACACAUGCAAGUCGAGCGCGCCUUUCGGGGCGAGCGGCGGACGGGUUAGUAACGCGUGGGAAUAUACCCUUUGGUACGGAAUAGCCUCUGGAAACGGAGAGUAAUACCGUAUGAGCCCUUCGGGGGAAAGAUUUAUCGCCAAAGGAUUAGCCCGCGUUAGAUUAGGUAGUUGGUGGGGUAAUGGCCUACCAAGCCUACGAUCUAUAGCUGGUUUUAGAGGAUGAUCAGCAACACUGGGACUGAGACACGGCCCAGACUCCUACGGGAGGCAGCAGUGGGGAAUCUUGGACAAUGGGGGCAACCCUGAUCCAGCCAUGCCGCGUGAGUGAUGAAGGCCUUAGGGUCGUAAAGCUCUUUCGCCUGUGAAGAUAAUGACGGUAGCAGGUAAAGAAACCCCGGUUAACUCCGUGCCAGCAGCCGCGGUAAUACGGAGGGGGUUAGCGUUGUUCGGAAUUACUGGGCGUAAAGCGCACGUAGGCGGACUGGAAAGUUGGGGGUGAAAUCCCGGGGCUCAACCCCGGAACUGCCUCCAAAA
Molecule: ribosomal RNA, 578 nt
Filed under: uncultured Alphaproteobacteria bacterium
Lineage: Bacteria; Pseudomonadati; Pseudomonadota; Alphaproteobacteria
Description: bacterial SSU rRNA
Rfam family: Bacterial small subunit ribosomal RNA
Source: RNAcentral